This 1207-nucleotide long non-coding RNA is filed under the name Sinocyclocheilus anshuiensis. RNAcentral's name for it is "lncRNA (ENSSANG00000042916.1)". Lineage: Eukaryota; Metazoa; Chordata; Actinopteri; Cypriniformes; Cyprinidae. The record is from RNAcentral.
GUCUGGAAGCAGCUCCUUAAGGAGUGCCCAUGAGCUCCACCAGAGGGCACUCCACCCCUGACUCUUGUCACAGUCUCACAAACUACAUUUCCCAUAAUCCUUUGCCGGACUCAUCAUCACUGAUUGCCUUCACCUGUGUCUAUUUACCUUAUCAAUCUCACACUAUGAAGGUUGCACUCAUCCACACACACAUCGCUGAGUAUUGCUAGCCUGUAGCGUUUCCAAGUUCCCUCUCGAAGCGGCGACGACCGCUCCAGCUACUCCCGAGGUGGCAACUUGUGCUGCAGAACCUCCAGAGGCAUCGGCGUCUGCCUUUGAAUUCUCUGCCGGUCCAGCCGCGGCCAAAGAGGCCACCUGUGAACCCUCUGAUUUGUCUUGUCACGCCCAAGGAAGCCGUCUCUGAACUCUCAACCUGUCCUGUCACGGCCAAGGAGGCUGUCUUCGAGUUCUUCGCCUAUCCAGUCACGGCCAAAGAGGCCGACUGUGAACUCUCUGACUGUCCUGUUUCGGCCACAGAGGUCAUUGAUAACCUCUCUGUGCUCUGUAUUCCAGUUCAGCCUGAUCCACCAUGGUGGUUCCCUGCUCCAUCAGCUCCACCCUGGUGGUCAUCUGCUCCACCGUGGCGAUCUUUGGUCCCGUCUGUUCAGCUGUGGUGGUCAUCUACUCCACUGUGGGGGUCUUCGAUCCCAUCUUCUCUGCUGUGGUGGUCUUCUGCUCCGCCCUGGUUGUCCUCUGCUCUGCCGGCUCUGUCCCGGCUUCCUGCUCUGCUGGCUCCACCUUGGUUUCCUGCUCCGCCCUGGUACCCUGCUCUGCCGGCUCUGCUUCAGUCUCCAGGCCCAUGAAGGCGAGGGUGACAGUGAGUGAGGGCACACCUAGGACAGGAUCCCGGCCAGCCAGUAAAGUGUUCACGGCAGAGCAGGAGACCAUACUGUCCUCCAUACUGAGUUCCUCCUCAGGGCUGCUGACUUAUAUUAUGGUUUAAGUCCCAAAGAGGUUCGCAAAUUUGCCUAUGAACUGGCAAAGGCUCACAACUGCCAGCAGCCCAAGUCAUGGGAUGAGCAUGGAGUGGCUGGGGCUGACUGGUUAGAUGGUUUCCUGAACAGGCACCCAAGCCUUUCCCUGAGACAGCCACAAGAUUAGCUAGGAGAACAAGCUUUAAUAAAACCAACAAUCUGGCAGAGGUAUUUCAAAAACACCAUUUCACUGC